AUUUAUUAGAUAAAAAGCCAGUUCAUGCUUUUACAGUAUGAAAAUUGGUGAUUUAUAAUAACUUAGCAAAUCGCAAAGUGAAAACAGGCGAUAAAUCAUUCAAGUUUCUGACCUAUCAGCUUUCGACGGUAUGGUAUUGGCUUACCGUGGCAGUGACGGUUAACGGGGGAUUAGGGUUCGAUUCCGGAGAGGGAGCCUGAGAAACGGCUACCACAUCUAAGGAAGGCAGCAGGCGCGCAAAUUACCCAAUUCUAACAGUUUGAGAGAGGUAGUAACAAGAAAUAACAAUACAAGGCAGUUAAAAUGCUUUGUAAUUGGAAUGAUAGAAAUUUAAACCCUUUUUAAAGUAUCAAUUGGAGGGCAAGUCUGGUGCCAGCAGCCGCGGUAAUUCCAGCUCCAAUAGCGUAUAUUAAAAUUGUUGCAGUUAAAAAGCUCGUAGUUGAAGUUCUGCUGAAAGUAACCGGUCUGCUUUUAAUAAAAGUGGUAUCUUGGUAUGUAUUUAGCAAUGAUGUCCUUUGAAGUGUUUUUUACUUUAUUGUAAUAAAGCAUAUUCAGGACUUUUACUUUGAGAAAAUUAGAGUGUUUCUAGCAGGCUAACGCUUUGAAUACUGCAGCAUGGAAAUAAUAAG
This 629-nucleotide ribosomal RNA is filed under the name Hepatozoon canis. RNAcentral describes it as "SSU rRNA". It matches the Rfam family "Eukaryotic small subunit ribosomal RNA", at positions 203 to 822 of the family's 1831-position model. The record is from RNAcentral. Lineage: Eukaryota; Apicomplexa; Hepatozoidae.